CUUGCUUCUCUUGAGAGCGGCGGACGGGUGAGUAAUGCCUAGGAAUCUGCCUGGUAGUGGGGGAUAACGUUCGGAAACGGACGCUAAUACCGCAUACGUCCUACGGGAGAAAGCAGGGGACCUUCGGGCCUUGCGCUAUCAGAUGAGCCUAGGUCGGAUUAGCUAGUUGGUGGGGUAAUGGCUCACCAAGGCGACGAUCCGUAACUGGUCUGAGAGGAUGAUCAGUCACACUGGAACUGAGACACAGUCCAGACUCCUACGGGAGGCAGCAGUGGGGAAUAUUGGACAAUGGGCGAAAGCCUGAUCCAGCCAUGCCGCGUGUGUGAAGAAGGUCUUCGGAUUGUAAAGCACUUUAAGUUGGGAGGAAGGGUUGUAGAUUAAUACUCUGCAAUUUUGACGUUACCGACAGAAUAAGCACCGGCUAACUCUGUGCCAGCAGCCGCGGUAAUACAGAGGGUGCAAGCGUUAAUCGGAAUUACUGGGCGUAAAGCGCGCGUAGGUGGUUUGUUAAGUUGGAUGUGAAAUCCCCGGGCUCAACCUGGGAACUGCAUUCAAAACUGACUGACUAGAGUAUGGUAGAGGGUGGUGGAAUUUCCUGUGUAGCGGUGAAAUGCGUAGAUAUAGGAAGGAACACCAGUGGCGAAGGCGACCACCUGGACUAAUACUGACACUGAGGUGCGAAAGCGUGGGGAGCAAACAGGAUUAGAUACCCUGGUAGUCCACGCCGUAAACGAUGUCAACUAGCCGUUGGAAGCCUUGAGCUUUUA
RNAcentral lists this ribosomal RNA (767 nucleotides) under uncultured bacterium. RNAcentral's name for it is "bacterial SSU rRNA". It matches the Rfam family "Bacterial small subunit ribosomal RNA", at positions 79 to 842 of the family's 1533-position model. The record is from RNAcentral.